Molecule: ribosomal RNA, 301 nt
Filed under: uncultured bacterium
Lineage: Bacteria
Description: partial 16S ribosomal RNA
Rfam family: Bacterial small subunit ribosomal RNA
Source: RNAcentral
CAGCCGCCGCGGUAAUACGUAGGGUGCGAGCGUUAAUCGGAAUUACUGGGCGUAAAGCGUGCGCAGGCGGUUGUGUAAGACAGGUGUGAAAUCCCCGGGCUUAACCUGGGAACUGCGCUUGUGACUGCACAGCUAGAGUAUGGCAGAGGGGGGUGGAAUUCCACGUGUAGCAGUGAAAUGCGUAGAGAUGUGGAGGAACACCGAUGGCGAAGGCAGCCCCCUGGGCCAGUACUGACGCUCAUGCACGAAAGCGUGGGGAGCAAACAGGAUUAGAUACCCGAGUAGUCCCUGUCUCUUAACA